Long non-coding RNA from Bombus huntii, 791 nucleotides. RefSeq lists it as uncharacterized. Lineage: Eukaryota; Metazoa; Arthropoda; Insecta; Hymenoptera; Apidae. The record is from RefSeq and is a predicted model, not a curated record. The transcript is spliced from 3 exons.
GAUAGAACUUAUCAAUAGACUAUAGUAUUUGUGCAUUUUCAGGAAAUUUAAGGUUCCAAAAAUCUACAGAAUGCAUAUGAUAUGCAAAAAUAUAUGAAACGUUCAAAAUAAAGUAUUAUGAUGUUUAGCAAAUACUUAGUAGAUAGAACUCAUUAAUAGACUAUAGUAUUUGUGCAUUUUCAGGAAAUUUAAGGUUCCAAAAAUCUACAGAAUGCAUAUGAUAUGCAAAAAUAUAUGAAACGUUCAAAAUAAAGUAUUAUGAUGUUUAGCAAAUACUUAGUAGAUAGAACUCAUUAAUAGACUAUAGUAUUUGUGCAUUUUCAGGAAAUUUAAGGUUCCAAAAAUCUACAGAAUGCAUAUGAUAUGCAAAAAUAUAUGAAACGUUCAAAAUAAAGUAUUAUGAUGUUUAGCAAAUACUUAGUAGAUAGAACUCAUUAAUAGACUAUAGUAUUUGUGCAUUUUCAGGAAAUUUAAGGUUCCAAAAAUCUACAGAAUGCAUAUGGCAUGCAAAAAUAUAUGAAGCAUUCAAAAUAAAGUAUUAUGAUCUUUAGCAAAUACUUAGUAGAUAGAACUUAUCAAUAGACUAUAGUAUUUGUGCAUUUUCAGGAAAUUUAAGGUUCCAAAAAUCUACAGAAUGCAUACGACAUGCAAAAAUAUAUGAAACGUUGAAAAUAAUGUAUUAUGAUCUUUAGCAAAUACUUAAUAAAUAGAACUCAUUAAUAGAUUAUAGUAUUUGUGCAAUUUCAGGAAAUUUAAGGUUCCAAACAUCUACAGAAUGCAUAUGGCAUGCA